UACGAAGGGGGCUAGCGUUGUUCGGAAUCACUGGGCGUAAAGCGCACGUAGGCGGAUGUGCCAGUCAGGAGUGAAAUCCCGGAGCUCAACUUCGGAACUGCCUCUGAUACAGCACGUCUUGAGUCCGGAAGAGGUGGGUGGAAUUCCUAGUGUAGAGGUGAAAUUCGUAGAUAUUCGGAGGAACACCAGUGGCGAAGGCGGCUCACUGGUCUGGUACUGACGCUGAGGUGCGAAAGCGUGGGGAGCAAACAGG
RNAcentral lists this ribosomal RNA (253 nucleotides) under uncultured bacterium. Its description in RNAcentral is "partial 16S ribosomal RNA". It matches the Rfam family "Bacterial small subunit ribosomal RNA", at positions 524 to 776 of the family's 1533-position model. The record is from RNAcentral.